This 612-nucleotide long non-coding RNA is filed under the name Sus scrofa (pig). RNAcentral's name for it is "lncRNA (ENSSSCG00015000703.1)". Lineage: Eukaryota; Metazoa; Chordata; Mammalia; Artiodactyla; Suidae. The record is from RNAcentral.
GGGAUGUGUGCUUUACAUAAUGCUGUGACUCACACAGGAAAUCAGUUCUUUGGCUGCUUAAAACCUAAUAGGAAAAGUAAAACUGGCCUCUGAAUAUGAUAAGAGCAUAUGACACAUAGCACAGGAGACUGAAAAUUAAGUAUUGUGAUAGUUUACUUUCAGGUAGCAGCUUAACCAUCACUUUUCAAUGAUGCUUUCCUUGACCUCUUACUACACCUUAGUUUGAUAACUCUUUAUCCCAUUGUGUCCCUGUGUUUUUAUUCUGAUUAUUUGUUUACUCUCUUCCUUCUACUAGGGUGUAAGUUUCCAGGGGGCAGACAUCAACACAAGAGUUUCUUGGGAAAAGACUGAAACCUGAGUCUCAGGCAGAGGGGAAGUCAAUGUUUUAAGGAAGGGAGCAGCCAAUGAAGAUACCCAGGAGUGGGAAGAGUGAGGAGUCUGUCUGGCAGAGGGUAAACAUGAAGGAGACUACGAGCUGGGGCCAGAGAGGUACUGCGGGUUCAAAUCCUGAAGUGCCAUGUGUGGAGGCUUCAGAGAUCAGGCACAGCCCCAUCAUCCCACUGAGCACAGACAUCUGAAUGACGUUGCAUUUACCAUGUGAAAUGUGACUAU